GACGAACGCUGGCGGCGUGCUUAACACAUGCAAGUCGAACGAAGAGCGACGGAAGCUUGCUUCUAUCAAUCUUAGUGGCGAACGGGUGAGUAACGCGUAAUCAACCUGCCCUUCAGAGGGGGACAACAGUUGGAAACGACUGCUAAUACCGCAUACGAUCUAAUCUCGGCAUCGAGGAUAGAUGAAAGGUGGCCUCUAUAUGUAAGCUAUCACUGAAGGAGGGGAUUGCGUCUGAUUAGCUAGUUGGAGGGGUAACGGCCCACCAAGGCGAUGAUCAGUAGCCGGUCUGAGAGGAUGAACGGCCACAUUGGGACUGAGACACGGCCCAGACUCCUACGGGAGGCAGCAGUGGGGAAUCUUCCGCAAUGGACGAAAGUCUGACGGAGCAACGCCGCGUGAGUGAUGACGGCCUUCGGGUUGUAAAGCUCUGUUAAUCGGGACGAAAGGCCUUCUUGCGAACAGUUAGAAGG
Molecule: ribosomal RNA, 470 nt
Filed under: Veillonella parvula
Lineage: Bacteria; Bacillati; Bacillota; Negativicutes; Veillonellales; Veillonellaceae
Description: bacterial SSU rRNA
Rfam family: Bacterial small subunit ribosomal RNA
Source: RNAcentral